AACGCGAAGAACCUUACCAGGUCUUGACAUCCCUCUGACCGGUCCGUAACGGGACCUUUCCUUCGGGACAGAGGAGACAGGUGGUGCAUGGUUGUCGUCAGCUCGUGUCGUGAGAUGUUGGGUUAAGUCCCGCAGCGAGCGCAACCCCUAUCCUUAGUAGCCAGCAGUUCGGCUGGGCACUCUGGGGAGACUGCCAGGGAUAACCUGGAGGAAGGCGGGGAUGACGUCAAAUCAUCAUGCCCCUUAUGAUCUGGGCUACACACGUGCUACAAUGGUGACUACAAAGGGAAGCAGCCCUGUGAAGGUGAGCAAAUCCCAAAAAGGUCAUCCCAGUUCGGAUUGUAGUCUGCAACUCGACUACAUGAAGCUGGAAUCGCUAGUAAUCGCGAAUCAGAAUGUCGCGGUGAAUACGUUCCCGGGUCUUGUACACACGC
RNAcentral lists this ribosomal RNA (434 nucleotides) under uncultured bacterium. Its description in RNAcentral is "bacterial SSU rRNA". It matches the Rfam family "Bacterial small subunit ribosomal RNA", at positions 958 to 1393 of the family's 1533-position model. The record is from RNAcentral.